GUGGCAGAGUUUGGCUUAAUGCACCAGUCUUGAAAACUGGCACACCGAAAGGUGUCGUAGGUUCAAAUCCUUAGCAACUCGCCA
RNAcentral lists this transfer RNA (84 nucleotides) under Caudoviricetes sp. Its description in RNAcentral is "tRNA-Ser". The record is from RNAcentral. Lineage: Duplodnaviria; Heunggongvirae; Uroviricota; Caudoviricetes.